Long non-coding RNA from Cygnus olor (mute swan), 2444 nucleotides. RefSeq lists it as uncharacterized. NCBI's taxonomy places the organism in Eukaryota, Metazoa, Chordata, Aves, Anseriformes, Anatidae. The record is from RefSeq and is a predicted model, not a curated record. The transcript has 4 exons.
UGCUUGCUCAGAUCUGAGAAGCAAGAUAAAGCACUGCUUUCUCCUGUCCCUUACAGAUAUUGCUGCAUGGAUGAAUUUCUUAACGGGUUUGUUGGGGAAUUAUUUUCAUUUUUUUUUUUGAUUGAUUUUCUAAAGGAGAUGUUUUGCAUUGGUGAGAGUUGAGUUCCAGCAAAUCAGAGUAUGGUGUUCUCUCAUGCUCAUGUUAGUGUUUCUGUGUCUGUUCUUUGACUCAUGUUUUUUCUCAGCCAUAUGUAUUGCUUUUCAACUCUUUCGGGUUCAAACUCAUUAUAGUAAUGACCAAAUGAAUCCUAUCUCUCAUCUUGCAAAACAUUCCAUUCCUUCUUGAAAAUUCAUACACGCUCAUGGCCUGGCUCUGGGCAAGAAGGUGGCCCAGCACAUGGGACCCCUCAGUAUGAUCACUUGCUGUGGGCUUGCUGCAUGAUGUUCCACAGGCUUUUCCGUAUCAGUGUUUCACUUGUAAAAAGGGAACUGAACACCCUCCUUGUCCUACUGUGGAAGAUUGUGAGGUAUGCCUUUGUACCGUGUGCUCAGGGCGCAGUGUUGGCAGCAGGGCCUGUGUGAGGAGAGGCCAGGGCUGCCUGGUGCCAGUCCCAACCGGUCCCAGCCGGCUCCAGGCCCCACCGCAGGGCACAGCAGAGCCCCUCAGUGCCGCCAAUGCUGCCACUAGGAAACUUGUCACUACCCAAAUCUGUUUUGAUCAGCAAUACAUCUCCCUUCACUUGGCACUCUUUAGACUCUUUAGUAUAGAGGAGGAGAUUGAGAGGAAAGAGACAGGCCCUUCACAGUGCUACACAGUGGGAGGACAAGGGACAACAGACAUAAAUUGAAAAAACGAGAUAUUUCACCUGGAUACGGUGAAGAACUUUUUCACCAUUAGGAUAGUAAGGCAUUGGAACAAGUUGCCUAAAGAGGGAGGCAGGCUGUGUGGCCUUGGAGGAUUUCAGACCUGACUGGAUAAAGCCUUGAGCCAGCUCGUCUGAGCUGAGCAGGAAGAGGAGCUGGAGGCUUCCAGUUUGAGGUACUGUACGGCUCAGUGAAUGUCUGCAGGAAUAACCUAGAGGCACUGAGGAGCUAGUUGUGUGGGCAUAAAUAUUCUCGAGUGUUUUAAAAAUGAAUGAAAAAGAACAGGUUUAGGCCAGGUGGCUGAAUGAGGAAAAGCGAAAUAGGGACAAACAAUUUGAUUAUUUCACAUCACUGUCACGCUGCAAUUUCCAAGUCGUGUCACACAUUCAUCUGAAGAAGCCUGAAAACUUCAGAGCAAGACACUGUAAAUAAUUGCACCCUAGACUGAUGGCGGGCAGCUUAGAUGGGAAGGACUGUCAGAACUGGUCAAGAAGCGUGGGAUUUAGCUGCCUACAGGAAGAUAUCUAAUGGAGCUGGCUAAUACAACACAGGACUUGAUAGAGACCACGCACCGGAUUAACGCAGAAGAGAAGCAGAUCUCCGAGAAUAACAGCCUGGAAAAUGCAGUGAAGCUGUGCUGAUGGACCAGAGCAGCCAGGCCGCUGACAAUCAAGGAAAGCAGCAGCAGGUUAUCAGAAUAUUCCCAGCUUCCAGGUUGCUGAAAGAUAUUUGCGUAAGGGAAGUGCAGCUGUCAUGUUAUGUGCUGUCACAUCGUGAUCUUCCUUCAUUUCUCAGUAGACAUGUGUAUCUUACAUAGCAGGUGGUGUACAACCUGCAGAACAAUCCAUCACUAUUAUGGACAAAGUGACCUAGUCAGAAGUGCCCACUGAAAUUAGCAUUAUGGGAAGACCACGGAGCUUGGUUCAUGCUAUGUUAAAAUUGUGUUGAUGACGUUGACAACAAGUGUAUGUUGAAAGACCAGUGCAUUUAAAAUGAAUAUUUUUGUUGGCUUCACAGGAACUGUGAAGUUAGUAGCAGCCAAGUAUGUGUAAUGCUAUGACUAAUUUCCAGGUUUUCAAACUAUACUAUAAAUACAAGAGUACUCCUCAAUUUUGGUGACUAUAUUUUAUCCAACUUGAGAACUUUCCUUAUAAUCUCUGGAGGCUUAGAACGCCUUCCCCAGAAAUGGCUCUAGGAAACAGUGUACAUGUAAUCCUCUGAUUUACACAGCAGAGCAGGACUUCAGUGAACUCAGUAUCUAAGCAAUUUUUUUCUUUCUAUGAAGAUAUUAAGUAUCUUCCACAGAAAAAUCCUCCACAAUCUUAUUUGUAGAAUGCUCAUGUACUAAAUACUCAUAAUUAUGUCAUGGCUUGCGUCAUGUCACUAAAUAGUCCUGUCAGAGAGAGAAAGUCUUCCAGGCAUGUUAUAGUUACGUAACAGCAAUGCUGUUCUGUUAGGCAGUGUAAUGCAUAGCAAGAGAGAACCUCCAGGGGUUUACAGUGAGCAAAGCAAGUAAGCAAGGCGAGAAAGGACCCUGGGGAGUGGAGCUGAAGGUAUGCUCACGCUGUAGGUCAUGGUCA